This 451-nucleotide ribosomal RNA is filed under the name uncultured bacterium. Its description in RNAcentral is "bacterial SSU rRNA". It matches the Rfam family "Bacterial small subunit ribosomal RNA", at positions 354 to 796 of the family's 1533-position model. The record is from RNAcentral.
GUGGGGAAUCUUGCGCAAUGGGGGAAACCCUGACGCAGCAACGCCGCGUGGGUGAUGAAGGCCUUCGGGUCGUAAAGCCCUGUCAGGUGGAAAGAAACUUGCCGAUGUGAAUAUCAUCGGCAAUUGACGGUACCACCGGAGGAAGCACCGGCUAACUCCGUGCCAGCAGCCGCGGUAAUACGGAGGGUGCAAGCGUUGUUCGGAAUUAUUGGGCGUAAAGCGCGUGCAGGCGGUUGGGUAAGUCAGAUGUGAAAGCCUCUCGCUUAACGAGAGAAGUGCAUUUGAAACUGCUCGGCUAGAGUACGGGAGAGGAGAGUGGAAUUCCCGGUGUAGAGGUGAAAUUCGUAGAUAUCGGGAGGAACACCAGUGGCGAAGGCGGCUCUCUGGUCCGAUACUGACGCUGAGACGCGAAAGCGUGGGGAGCAAACAGGAUUAGAAACCCUAGUAGUCC